AGUGAACGCUGGCGGUAGGCCUAACACAUGCAAGUCGAACGGCAGCACAGUAAGAGCUUGCUCUUACGGGUGGCGAGUGGCGGACGGGUGAGGAAUACAUCGGAAUCUACUUUUUCGUGGGGGAUAACGUAGGGAAACUUACGCUAAUAACGCAUACGACCUACGGGUGAAAGCAGGGGAUCUUCGGACCUUGCGCGAUUGAAUGAGCUGAUGUCGGAUUAGCUAGUUGGCGGGGUAAAGGCCCACCACGGCGACGAUCCGUAGCUGGUCUGAGAGGAUGAUCAGCCACACUGGAACUGAGACACGGUCCAGACUCCUACGGGAGGCAGCAGUGGGGAAUAUUGGACAAUGGGCGCAAGCCUGAUCCAGCCAUGCCGCGUGGGUGGAGAAGGCCUUCGGGUUGUAAAGCCCUUUUGUUGGGAAAGAAAAGCAGCAGGUUAAUACCCCGCUGUUCUGACGGUACCCAAAGAAUAAGCACCGGCUAACUUCGUG
Molecule: ribosomal RNA, 492 nt
Filed under: uncultured bacterium
Lineage: Bacteria
Description: partial 16S ribosomal RNA
Rfam family: Bacterial small subunit ribosomal RNA
Source: RNAcentral